Molecule: ribosomal RNA, 479 nt
Filed under: uncultured bacterium
Lineage: Bacteria
Description: bacterial SSU rRNA
Rfam family: Bacterial small subunit ribosomal RNA
Source: RNAcentral
CAGGACGAACGCUGGCGGCACGCUAACACAUGCAAGUCAACGGGGUCAUUUGGAGCUUGCUUUGAAUGACCUAGUGGCGGACGGGUGAGUAACACGUGAGCAAUCUGCCCUUAAGAGGGGGAUAGCAGUUGGAAACGACUGAUAAUACCGCAUAAGAUAGUAGUACCGCAUGGUACAGCUAUAAAAGAUUUAUCGCCUAAGGAUGAGCUCGCGUCUGAUUAGCUAGUUGGUGAGGUAACGGCUCACCAAGGCAACGAUCAGUAGCCGGACUGAGAGGUUGGACGGCCACAUUGGGACUGAGACACGGCCCAGACUCCUACGGGAGGCAGCAGUGGGGAAUAUUGCACAAUGGAGGGAACUCUGAUGCCAGCGAUGCCGCGUGAGGGAAGAAGGUUUUAGGAUUGUAAACCUCUGUUGACAGGGACGAUAAUGACGGUACCUGUUGAGGAAGCUCCGGCUAACUACGUGCCAGCCGCAGC